AGGCGACGACGGGUAGCCGGCCUGAGAGGGCGACCGGCCACACUGGGACUGAGACACGGCCCAGACUCCUACGGGAGGCAGCAGUGGGGAAUAUUGGGCAAUGGGCGAAAGCCUGACCCAGCGACGCCGCGUGCGGGAUGAAGGCCUUCGGGUUGUAAACCGCUUUCAGCAGGGAAGAAGCGAAAGUGACGGUACCUGAAGAAGAAGCACCGGCUAACUAUGUGCCAGCAGCCGCGGUAAUACAUAGGGUGCAAGCGUUGUCCGGAAUUAUUGGGCGUAAAGAGCUCGUAGGUGGUUCGUUACGUCGGAUGUGAAAACCUGAGGCUCAACCUCAGGCCUGCAUUCGAUACGGGCGAACUUGAGUGUGGUAGGGGA
RNAcentral lists this ribosomal RNA (375 nucleotides) under uncultured bacterium. RNAcentral describes it as "bacterial SSU rRNA". It matches the Rfam family "Bacterial small subunit ribosomal RNA", at positions 271 to 658 of the family's 1533-position model. The record is from RNAcentral.